RNA transcript from Oncorhynchus tshawytscha (Chinook salmon), 3753 nucleotides. It is a transcript of the gene named glycerophosphodiester phosphodiesterase domain-containing protein 5, with no coding region annotated. NCBI's taxonomy places the organism in Eukaryota, Metazoa, Chordata, Actinopteri, Salmoniformes, Salmonidae. The record is from RefSeq and is a predicted model, not a curated record. The transcript has 18 exons.
CACUGGUACUCAGUCGAUUGAUUUUCUCUCCCGGUGUUCAUAGGCAAGGCUUGCAUUAACCUCAGAAGACUCUAACCUUGGAAUAUUUACUGAGAAAACGACGUUAAACUGAUACACACUUCAAUGUAGCAUAAACCCACGAGGUUGAAUUGAGUAGAAUAACUCUGGGUCAAAUGGUUUUCCUUUAUUGUGACAGGACACAUUUCCUUUUGACAACAUUUGGUGGCCACCCACCUCAACACGUUUGACGCAGACAGCAGCCCAUUUGUCGCGUGGUGUGAGGACAGUUGGUCUGAGGACUUCGUAAAAUAUUCCUACAACUUCACAUGGGAGAAAAAGCCUGAAAUAAUUGAUAAAGGUUUCCUGUUUGGUCAAUGGGAUGUUAGAGGUCUGGAGGCGUGCCAGAACUGAAGGAGCAUGGUGAAGCACCAACCCCUGCAGGUUUACGAGAGGCAGCUGUGUUUGUCAUGUCUCACAGGGAUCUAUGGGUGCCGGUGGAAACGGUACCAACGGUCACAUGAUGACACCACCAAGUGGGAGUUCCUGUGGUCACUCAUCCUCUUCUUCACCUUCUCUCUGCUCCUGGUCUGGUUCUACUUCUGGUGGGAGGCACACAACGACUACAAUGAGUUCAACUGGUUUUUAUAUAACCGCUCUGGGGAGUGGAGCGACGGGACCGUUCCAAUCCUGGCCACUACCGCUGCCGGCUUCACUUAUAUUGCAUUUUUAAUGAUUUUAGCACUUUGCCACAUAGCAAUGGGACAACAGCUGAACUUGCACUGGCUGCACAAGAUUGGAGUGAGUGCUGCCCUGCUGACCACUGCCAUCGGGUUCAUAUCUGUCAAUCAAACAUGGGGGGAGGAGUGGGCAGUCAUCCCUGUAUCACUCCAGGCCACGGGUCCCUUCCUACACCUAGGAGCUCUGGUGGCUGUCACCGCUCUGGCCUGGCUGGUGGCUGGGCAGAUCGCCCGCACAGAGAAAAUAAGGUUCCAGGUGGUGGUUCUCCUGCUCUACCUGAGUGUUCUACUGGGCCUCUACAUGGCCCCCCUUUCCAUCACCUCCCCCUGCAUCAUGGACCACGCAAACCUCACUCCACGCCCUGAUGUCAUUGGCCACCUGGGCGCCCCCAUGCUGGCUCCAGAGAACACUAUCCUGUCUUUCCAGAGGGCUCUGCAGAUGAACGUCAGUGGGCUGGAGGCUGACGUGGCCAUCAGCUUUGACGGGGUGCCAUUUCUGAUGCGAGACCGCACCUUGAGGAGGACUACAGACGUGGGGAAGGUGUUUCCAGCCAGACAGCUGGACGAUGCCUCCUCCUUCAACUGGACAGACUUACACAGCCUCAACGCCGGCCAGUGGUUCCUCAAGGACGACCCCUUCUGGACGGUCCAGUCCAUGGCUCAGAGGGAGGUGAUGCUGGUGGGGAACCAGGGCGUGUGUAGUCUGGAGCAGCUGCUGAGGCUAGCCUCCCUCCAUAACCAGACAGUGGUUUUCAGCCUGCGACGACCCCCGCACAGACACCCCUGUUACCACAGUUGGAUCAACGAUACCCUGGAAGUUAUACGCCUGUCUGGGAUUCCACAGCACCUGGUGAUGUGGACCCCAGACUGGGACAGGGGGCAGGUAAGACAGGUGGCUCCAGGGCUUCAGCAGACAUCAGUAGAGAAGCUGCCGCCUCAAGUCCUUCACCAGCAGGGAAUCAGCAGCCUGCUGCUACGUUACAGCCAGGCCAGCCCCUAUGACAUCCGAGAGUUCUCCAGGAGCAACGUGAGUGUGACUCUGUACACGGUCAACGAGCCCUGGCUGUUCUCUGUGCUCUGGUGCAGCGGGGUUUCCUCUGUCUCCUCUGAAGCCCCCAACAUCCUCAGAAAGGUGCCUUACCCCAUCUGGCUCAUGAGUCCAGAUGAAUACUGUCUGAUCUGGGUCGCCGCUGAUCUCAUCUCCUUCACUGUAGUUAUAGGAAUUUUUGUAUUCCAAAACUAUCACAUUAUCAGAUGGAGGUUGAGUGGCAUGCACAGCUACAACCCUGAACAGAUCAUGCUGAGUGCCGCAGUCCGGAGGUCCAGCAGAGACGUCAACAUUAUGAAGGAGAAACUUAUCUUCUCCGGUCAACCGCAGUAGCAGUCUCAUCCUUUGUGUGUGUGUGUGACCUGCACUCCUCUCCACCUCCACUCUUCAUCCUGCCAUCUGUCCAUCCUCCGACUGCUGUGACCAUUCUUCCGACCAUUCCAUCCAUCCCUCCCUUCCCACCUCCCUCUGCCUGCCCCGCCCUUCCCCCCGCUCCUCCCCAAUCGCCCACAGAGUCCUGCAUCAUGUAUAAGGGCUCCUAGACAGCCCACUGUGACCCACCAGCCUCUCCUGGUGGGUGGUGAAAGAGGUGAGCAAUGGUGUGGGCAGUGCUGAGGACCUGUACAUGGAGAAUGGCUUUGACUACUACAACAACGAAGGCAUCUCCCAUUGACUCUCACUCUCCUAAUGUGAAUCUACUGAAAGAUACCUGACUCUACUAGCAUGUGGAAACUGAGUAAAUUAAGACUUCCAAGUGACUGUCUUGUCUGUCCUGAUUACUCUUGUUUUACUCAGUGUAUCCAGAUAGUUAUUGGUUUGUUCCUCCUACUUACUGACUGAUUGAUUGACAGGCUGCUGUAUUGCUGAAGAAUCGCAGGCAAGCACCACCCAUUGCUUUGUACAUUCUGUAAAUAGGUUUGUUUUUGCUUGUUAAAUACAAAUGUGGGACUAAAAUCACUUUUUAUUGAUGAACCAAUUGAUUUGUCAGAUUUGUGGCCUCUUCUCACCUCUAGGUCCCUUUAUUAUUAUUUUUUACAAUUUGUUUGAAAAUAUAUUGGCCCAUUUUAAAUAUCAUUUUUCACUCAAACCUCCUGUGCCCACCCCUGCUCUAGAUGCUUUGGAGGCCCCCCCAGUUACCAAUGCUUGUUUAUUAUUAAUAACCUUUUUUUUUUUUACUGUUAUUUACUUGCAGUCACUUUAUAGCACAGCCAAUUCUUAGUUAUUUAGAGGAUUUUACUACUUGUGCAGCAUUGCUCCUAUUUCUUGCCACGUUUGGGUGCUAUUCUAAUUUUUAGGAACAAAAACAACACGAACAAGCUGUUUAGAGGGUCCUGCCUUCUCCGACUAAGUGAAAUAUUUACAUGAUGUAAGAUAAUGAUUUGAACAGCAUUUCCUUCAUCCAUGCUUGUGACAUACAAUAUCGAGUGACUUGUGGAGCUGUGCUGUCUCAGGCAGGGCUUGUGUUCAGGCAGAACUGCUGGGUAUGUUUUCGGUUCAUUGUGAAUGUUUUGAUUUUUAAAGGAUGUGAACAGUGUAUUAUGGCAGUAGAGAUUUCACCACCUACCCCAAGUAUGCAGUUCUACAUGGAGUGUGUACAUGUUACAAAAGUUUUAUAUGCUAUGGCUGUCUGAGGAUUAUAUUGGAAAGGUGAUGCAUAAUAAUAGCAAUAGUGUUGAGAAGUUUAUGAAAGUCAAGUCAUUUAAAUAUUUUGCAGACCAACUUCUCAAUGGCAUUUGAACAGCAAACUGCAUCAUAUAGAGUGACAUUAAAGGGUAUCUUUUGUGUCGUGAUGAAGUGGGGUGUGUUAUAUUAACUGUGAAAAUAAAGCUCUAGGCUGUUGAAGGGACAACGCUGAGUAUCAGAAUAGUUCACACAGGGUCAAGGAAUGGAUUGACUUGUGUUCAUUUACUCCUUUGGUAUUUGUGUGCCUCAGAAGUCAACAUUAAAAUGCUUCUGAUACCAAAGUGA